This 467-nucleotide ribosomal RNA is filed under the name uncultured bacterium. Its description in RNAcentral is "partial 16S ribosomal RNA". It matches the Rfam family "Bacterial small subunit ribosomal RNA", at positions 28 to 507 of the family's 1533-position model. The record is from RNAcentral.
GACGAACGCUGGCGGCGUGCUUAACACAUGCAAGUCGAACGGAAAGGCUCCAGCUUGCUGGAGUACUCGAGUGGCGAAAGGGUGAGUAACACGUGGGUAAUCUGCCCUGCACUCUGGGAUAAGCCUUGGAAACUGGGUCUAAUACUGGAUAUGACCUUUCUCCUUAUGGGGUUUGGUGGAAAGUUUUUCGGUGUAGGUUGAGCCCGCGGCAUAUCAGCUUGUUGGUGGGGUGAUGGCCUACCAAGGCGACGACGGGUAGCCAGCCUGAGAGGGUGAUCGGCCACAUUGGGACUGAGGUACGGCCCAGACUCCUACGGGAGGCAGCAGUGAGGAAUAUUGCACAAUGGGCGGAAGCCGGAUGCAGCGACGCCGCGUGAGGGAUGACGGCCUUCGGGUUGUAAACCUCUUUCAGCAGGGACGAAGCGUAAGUGACGGUACCUGCAGAAGAAGCACCGGCUAACUAUGUG